RNAcentral lists this ribosomal RNA (425 nucleotides) under uncultured bacterium. Its description in RNAcentral is "partial 16S ribosomal RNA". It matches the Rfam family "Bacterial small subunit ribosomal RNA", at positions 354 to 796 of the family's 1533-position model. The record is from RNAcentral.
GUGGGGAAUAUUGGACAAUGGGCGCAAGCCUGAUCCAGCAAUGCCGCGUGGGUGAAGAAGGUCUUCGGAUCGUAAAGCCCUUUCGACAGGGACGAUGAUGACGGUACCUGUAGAAGAAGCCCCGGCUAACUUCGUGCCAGCAGCCGCGGUAAUACGAAGGGGGCUAGCGUUAUUCGGAAUUACUGGGCGUAAAGGGCGCGUAGGCGGCUCUGUUAGUCAGGCGUGAAAUUCCUGGGCUUAACCUGGGGACUGCGCUUGAUACUGCAGGGCUUGAGGCCGAGAGAGGGUGGUGGAAUUCCCAGUGUAGAGGUGAAAUUCGUAGAUAUUGGGAAGAACACCGGUGGCGAAGGCGACCACCUGGCUCGGUUCUGACGCUGAGGCGCGACAGCGUGGGGAGCAAACAGGAUUAGAAACCCCGGUAGUCC